GAUGAACGCUGGCGGCGUGCCUAAUACAUGCAAGUCGAGCGAACAGACGAGGAGCUUGCUCCUCUGACGUUAGCGGCGGACGGGUGAGUAACACGUGGAUAACCUACCUAUAAGACUGGGAUAACUUCGGGAAACCGGAGCUAAUACCGGAUAAUAUAUUGAACCGCAUGGUUCAAUAGUGAAAGACGGUUUUGCUGUCACUUAUAGAUGGAUCCGCGCCGCAUUAGCUAGUUGGUAAGGUAACGGCCUACCAAGGCAACGAUGCGUAGCCGACCUGAGAGGGUGAUCGGCCACACUGGAACUGAGACACGGUCCAGACUCCUACGGGAGGCAGCAGUAGGGAAUCUUCCGCAAUGGGCGAAAGCCUGACGGAGCAACGCCGCGUGAGUGAUGAAGGUCUUCGGAUCGUAAAACUCUGUUAUUAGGGAAGAACAAAUGUGUAAGUAACUAUGCACGUCUUGACGGUACCCAAUCAGAAAGCCACGGCUAACUACGUG
This 497-nucleotide ribosomal RNA is filed under the name uncultured bacterium. Its description in RNAcentral is "partial 16S ribosomal RNA". It matches the Rfam family "Bacterial small subunit ribosomal RNA", at positions 28 to 507 of the family's 1533-position model. The record is from RNAcentral.